ACUAUUUGAGGUGGUAAAUUUCGUUGCGACCACGCGCCGAUGGUAUGACAGGGGAAACCCGAGAGAUGCGGGAGAAAGCGACGCCCGCCAAAUUGU
This 96-nucleotide non-coding RNA is filed under the name unclassified sequences. The record is from Rfam.